UGCGGCCAAUGAUGAGUAAUGAUUUGCCUACAUUGUCAGAUUGUCUAAUUCAUGACUGAGACAUAUAUCUCUGAGGCCUUA
This is a non-coding RNA of Ricinus communis (castor bean), 81 nucleotides long. The record is from Rfam. Lineage: Eukaryota; Viridiplantae; Streptophyta; Magnoliopsida; Malpighiales; Euphorbiaceae.